This 538-nucleotide long non-coding RNA is filed under the name Carica papaya (papaya). RNAcentral describes it as "long non-coding RNA (CPAP_LNC009109)". Lineage: Eukaryota; Viridiplantae; Streptophyta; Magnoliopsida; Brassicales; Caricaceae. The record is from RNAcentral.
UAAAAGGAUUUGUUGUAAAUUAUGCUCCAUUGGUCUUUUUGUGUUUUCUACCCACUUUUACCUCCGUGACGGUGAGAUAUCGUGAUGUCCUUACUGGGCUAGUGUAGCUCAUUCCUUAUUUAAUCAUUUCAGAUCAAGAGGACAUCGUUCCCGAGCCGGUUCCGCAGGAGGACGACGAAGGGGACACCUAAGGACUCCAUAGUCACAUUCGUAGUUUUUACUUUCAAGUUUCCCCUUUAGGUAGUUUAAUCUUUUAUAUUUUGUGAGCACGUUUUUGGUUUUAGUGUAAGAGAUGUUAAUCAAAUUUUGUCUUCGCUUCCGCAUUUGAUAUUUAUAAUAUAAUUUCCAUUUUAAAUUUCCGGGGCUGCUACAGUUGGUAUCAGAGCCAGGUUUCCUCGGACCCAUCCCUUACACAAUAGUGCUUUAGAGAAAUACUCACCGAUAUAUCGUUACUCAAUCAUUCCUUGUAAACGUAGGUAUACGAGAAUGAGGAGAGGAAGGCCCCCACUAAACCGAGCGGCCCCAGAUAAUUCACUUC